RNAcentral lists this ribosomal RNA (497 nucleotides) under uncultured bacterium. Its description in RNAcentral is "partial 16S ribosomal RNA". It matches the Rfam family "Bacterial small subunit ribosomal RNA", at positions 28 to 507 of the family's 1533-position model. The record is from RNAcentral.
GAUGAACGCUGGCGGCGUGCCUAAUACAUGCAAGUCGAGCGAACAGACGAGGAUCUUUCUCCUCUGACGUUAGCGGCGGACGGGUGAGUAACACGUGGAUAACCUACCUAUAAGACUGGGAUAACUUCGGGAAACCGGAUCUAAUACCGGAUAAUAUAUUGAACCGCAUGGUUCAAUAGUGAAAGACGGUUUUGCUGUCACUUAUAGAUGGAUCCGCGCCGCAUUAGCUAGUUGGUAAGGUAACGGCUUACCAAGGCAACGAUGCGUAGCCGACCUGAGAGGGUGAUCGGCCACACUGGAACUGAGACACGGUCCAGACUCCUACGGGAGGCAGCAGUAGGGAAUAUUCCGCAAUGGGCGAAAGCUUGACGGAGCAACGCCGCGUGAGUGAUGAAGGUCUUCGGAUCGUAAAACUCUGUUAUUAGGGAAGAACAACUGUGUAAGUAACUAUGCACGUCUUGACGGUACCUAAUCAGAAAGCAACGGCUAACUACGUG